This 253-nucleotide ribosomal RNA is filed under the name uncultured bacterium. RNAcentral's name for it is "partial 16S ribosomal RNA". It matches the Rfam family "Bacterial small subunit ribosomal RNA", at positions 524 to 776 of the family's 1533-position model. The record is from RNAcentral.
UACGGAGGGUGCAAGCGUUAUCCGGAUUCACUGGGUUUAAAGGGUGCGUAGGUGGGUAUGUAAGUCAGAGGUGAAAUCCCCGAGCUUAACUUGGGAACUGCCUUUGAUACUAUAUAUCUUGAAUGCCGUAGAGGUAAGCGGAAUAUGUCAUGUAGCGGUGAAAUGCUUAGAUAUGACAUGGAACACCAAUUGCGAAGGCAGCUUACUAUGCGGUUAUUGACACUGAGGCACGAAAGCGUGGGUAGCAAACAGG